AGAAGUGUGCCCGAGACAGGGGUUAUUUUGAUGAAAUAAACACAGAGCAACACACUCUCGCUUCCA
This 66-nucleotide transfer RNA is filed under the name Phrynocephalus erythrurus parva. Its description in RNAcentral is "tRNA-Ile". The record is from RNAcentral. Lineage: Eukaryota; Metazoa; Chordata; Lepidosauria; Squamata; Agamidae.